UACGUAGGGUGCAAGCGUUGUCCGGAAUUAUUGGGCGUAAAGAGCUCGUAGGCGGUCUGUCGCGUCUGCUGUGAAAACUCAGGGCUUAACCCUGAGCUUGCAGUGGGUACGGGCAGACUAGAGUGCGGUAGGGGAGACUGGAAUUCCUGGUGUAGCGGUGAAAUGCGCAGAUAUCAGGAGGAACACCGAUGGCGAAGGCAGGUCUCUGGGCCAUAACUGACGCUGAGAAGCGAAAAGCAUGGGGGAGCGAACAGG
This 255-nucleotide ribosomal RNA is filed under the name uncultured bacterium. RNAcentral describes it as "partial 16S ribosomal RNA". It matches the Rfam family "Bacterial small subunit ribosomal RNA", at positions 524 to 776 of the family's 1533-position model. The record is from RNAcentral.